GCGCCCGUAGCUCAGUUGGAUAGAGCGCCUGAUUACGGAUCAGGAGGUCGGGGGUUCGAAUCCUCCCGGGCGCACCA
RNAcentral lists this transfer RNA (77 nucleotides) under Alphaproteobacteria bacterium. Its description in RNAcentral is "tRNA-Arg". It matches the Rfam family "tRNA". From Rfam's summary of the family: Transfer RNA (tRNA) molecules are approximately 80 nucleotides in length. Their secondary structure includes four short double-helical elements and three loops (D, anti-codon, and T loops). Further hydrogen bonds mediate the characteristic L-shaped molecular structure. tRNAs have two regions of fundamental functional importance: the anti-codon, which is responsible for specific mRNA codon recognition, and the 3' end, to which the tRNAs corresponding amino acid is attached (by aminoacyl-tRNA synthetases). tRNAs cope with the degeneracy of the genetic code in two manners: having more than one tRNA (with a specific anti-codon) for a particular amino acid; and 'wobble' base-pairing, i.e. permitting non-standard base-pairing at the 3rd anti-codon position. The record is from RNAcentral. Lineage: Bacteria; Pseudomonadati; Pseudomonadota; Alphaproteobacteria.